RNAcentral lists this ribosomal RNA (263 nucleotides) under uncultured archaeon. RNAcentral describes it as "partial 16S ribosomal RNA". It matches the Rfam family "Archaeal small subunit ribosomal RNA", at positions 748 to 1009 of the family's 1478-position model. The record is from RNAcentral.
CAGCCGUAAACUAUGCGCGUUAGGUGCACUGGUGACCACGAGUCACCGGGGUGCCGAAGGGAAACCGUGAAACGUGCCGCCUGGGAAGUACGGUCGCAAGGCUGAAACUUAAAGGAAUUGGCGGGGGGAGCACCACAACGGGUGGAGCCUGCGGUUUAAUUGGACUCAACGCCGGAAAUCUCACCGGAUAGGACAGACAUAUGAUAGUCGGGCUGAAGACUCUACUUGAUGAUCUGAGAGGAGGUGCAUGGCGUCCAGUGACU